Molecule: microRNA precursor, 81 nt
Filed under: Saimiri boliviensis boliviensis (Bolivian squirrel monkey)
Lineage: Eukaryota; Metazoa; Chordata; Mammalia; Primates; Cebidae
Description: miRNA (ENSSBOG00000019436.1)
Source: RNAcentral
UAUUAGGUUGAUGCAAAAGUAACUGCAAUUUUUGUUACUUUUAAUGGCAAAAACUGCAAUUACUUUUGCAGCAGCCUAAUA